Molecule: ribosomal RNA, 467 nt
Filed under: uncultured bacterium
Lineage: Bacteria
Description: partial 16S ribosomal RNA
Rfam family: Bacterial small subunit ribosomal RNA
Source: RNAcentral
GACGAACGCUGGCGGCGUGCUUAACACAUGCAAGUCGAACGGAAAGGCCCUGCUUUUGUGGGGUGCUCGAGUGGCGAACGGGUGAGUAACACGUGAGUAACCUGCCCUUGACUUUGGGAUAACUUCAGGAAACUGGGGCUAAUACCGGAUAGGAGCUCCUGCUGCAUGGUGGGGGUUGGAAAGUUUCGGCGGUUGGGGAUGGACUCGCGGCUUAUCAGCUUGUUGGUGGGGUAGUGGCUUACCAAGGCUUUGACGGGUAGCCGGCCUGAGAGGGUGACCGGCCACAUUGGGACUGAGAUACGGCCCAGACUCCUACGGGAGGCAGCAGUGGGGAAUAUUGCACAAUGGGCGGAAGCCUGAUGCAGCAACGCCGCGUGCGGGAUGACGGCCUUCGGGUUGUAAACCGCUUUCGCCUGUGACGAAGCGUGAGUGACGGUAAUGGGUAAAGAACCACCGGCUAACUACGU